This 301-nucleotide ribosomal RNA is filed under the name uncultured bacterium. RNAcentral's name for it is "partial 16S ribosomal RNA". It matches the Rfam family "Bacterial small subunit ribosomal RNA", at positions 509 to 807 of the family's 1533-position model. The record is from RNAcentral.
CAGCCGCCACGGGAAUACGGAGGGAGCUAGCGCUGUUCGGAAUUACUGGGCGUAAAGCGCACGUAGGCGGCUACUCAAGUCGGGGGUGAAAGCCCGGGGCUCAACCCCGGAACUGCCCUCGAAACUAGGUAGCUAGAAUCUUGGAGAGGUCAGUGGAAUUCCGAGUGUAGAGGUGAAAUUCGUAGAUAUUCGGAAGAACACCAGUGGCGAAGGCGACUGACUGGACAAGUAUUGACGCUGAGGUGCGAAAGCGUGGGGAGCAAACAGGAUUAGAGACCCCGGUAGUCCCUGUCUCUUAUAC